Molecule: small nucleolar RNA, 67 nt
Organism: Toxotes jaculatrix (banded archerfish)
Lineage: Eukaryota; Metazoa; Chordata; Actinopteri; Toxotidae
Product: small nucleolar RNA SNORD58
Exons: 1
Source: RefSeq, a predicted model, not a curated record
UUGCAGUGAUGACUAUCUUAGGACACCUUUGGAUGAAAGAUGAAACUAACGUGUUAAUCUGAGCAGC